Ribosomal RNA from Cercocebus atys (sooty mangabey), 119 nucleotides. Lineage: Eukaryota; Metazoa; Chordata; Mammalia; Primates; Cercopithecidae. The record is from Ensembl.
AUCUAUGGCCAUACCACCCUAAACGCGCCCGAUCUAGUCUGAUCUUGGAAGCUAAGCAGGGUCGGGCCUGGUUAGUACUUGGAUGGGAGACCACCUGGGAAUACUGGGUGCUGUAGGCU